AUGGCUCAGGACGAACGCCUGGCGGCGUGCUUAACACAUGCAAGUCGAACGAGACGAUUUAGAAGCUUGCUUUUAUUGAGUCGAGUGGCAAACGGGUGAGUAACGCGUAGACAACCUGCCGCAAAGAUGGGGACAACAGUCCGAAAGGACUGCUAAUACCGAAUGUUGUAUCUUCUCCGCAUGGAAGAGAUAUUAAAGAUGGCCUCUACUUGUAAGCUAUCGCUUUGCGAUGGGUCUGCGUCUGAUUAGCUAGUUGGUGGGGCAACGGCCUACCAAGGCGACGAUCAGUAGCCGGUCUGAGAGGAUGAACGGCCACAUUGGAACUGAGACACGGUCCAGACUCCUACGGGAGGCAGCAGUGGGGAAUCUUCCGCAAUGGGCGAAAGCCUGACGGAGCAACGCCGCGUGAGUGAAGAAGGUCUUCGGAUCGUAAAGCUCUGUUGUCGGGGACGAAUGUUGAGAUUUAGAAUAUAGGUUUCAAAUGACGGUACCUGACGAGGAAGCCACGGCUAACUACGUGCCAGCAGCCGCGGUAAUACGUAGGUGGCGAGCGUUGUCCGGAAUUAUUGGGCGUAAAGGGAGCGCAGGCGGGAAGGUAAGUCUAUCUUAAAAGUGCGGGGCUCAACCCCGUGAGGGGAUAGAAACUAUCAUUCUUGAGUGCAGGAGAGGAAAGCGGAAUUCCUAGUGUAGCGGUGAAAUGCGUAGAUAUUAGGAGGAACACCAGUGGCGAAGGCGGCUUUCUGGACUGUAACUGACGCUGAGGCUCGAAAGCCAGGGGAGCGAACGGGAUUAGAUACCCCGGUAGUCCUGGCCGUAAACGAUGAAUGCUAGGUGUAGGAGGUAUCGACCCCUCCUGUGCCGGAGUUAACGCAAUAAGCAUUCCGCCUGGGGAGUACGGCCGCAAGGCUGAACUCAAAGGAUUGAC
Molecule: ribosomal RNA, 925 nt
Filed under: uncultured Selenomonas sp.
Lineage: Bacteria; Bacillati; Bacillota; Negativicutes; Selenomonadales; Selenomonadaceae
Description: bacterial SSU rRNA
Rfam family: Bacterial small subunit ribosomal RNA
Source: RNAcentral